CCACGUUCGUCGUCCCCGGGUGAGUCGGGUCCUAAGGCGAGGCCGACAGGCGUAGUCGAAUGGAUGAACGGGUGGAUAUUCCCGUACCGACCAUGGACCGGCAAAACCGAGACGGUGAGUACUAACCUCCGCCUCGUGGUGGUUCCUUCCUUCGGGUUGGUGUCGCCGCGUGGUGUUGGGAGCGUAGCCGCAGUAGGUCAGCGCAGGGGUGACACGGAAUGGGAGCCGGCCGCGGAGGUGGUUUUCCGUGGUCAAGCACGCAGCCAGUCAUGUAGGCAAAUCCGCAUGGCGCGCAUGGCGAGGUGUGAUGAUGGGAGCCGUUAUGGCUCGAUAUCCGGUUGUCCAGGCCGUCGAGAAAAGCCUCGGCGUGAGGGCCAUGGCCGCCCGUACCCCAAACCGACACUGGUGGUCAGGUAGAGAAUACCAAGGCGAUCGAGCGAAUCCUGGUCAAGGAACUCGGCAAAUCACUCCCGUGCCUUCGGUAUAAGGGAGACCCGCUGGGGUGAACCGGCUAGCCCGGGGAGCUUUGGUGGGUGGCACAGACCAGGGGGUAGCGACUGUUUACCAAAAACACAGGUGCAUGCGAAGGCGAAAGCCGCUGUAUAUGCACUGACGCCUGCCCGGUGCCGGAAGGUUAAGAGGAUCCGUCAGUCCUUCGGGAUGAAGCGGUGAAUUCAAGCCCCGGUAAACGGCGGUGGUAACUAUAACCAUCCUAAGGUAGCGAAAUUCCUUGUCGGGUAAGUUCCGACCUGCACGAAUGGCGUAACGACUUCCCCACUGUCUCGACCAGGAGCUCGGCGAAAUUGCAGUACGAGUAAAGAUGCUCGUUAAGCGCAGAAGGACGAAAAGACCCCGGGACCUUUACUAUACCUUGGUAUUGGCGUUAGGCGCGGAUUGUGUAGCAUAGGCGGGAGGCUUCGAAGCGGGUGCGCCAGCAUUCGUGGAGCCGCAAGGUGAAAUACCGCUCUGUUCUCGUUUGACGUCUAACCUCGACAAGUCAUCCUUGUCAGGGACAGUGCCUGGCGGGUAGUUCAACUGGGGCGGUUGCCUCCCAAAGAGUAACGGAGGCGCUCAAAGGUCCGCUCAGCCCGGUUGGCAAUCGGGUGUCGAGUGUAAUCGCACAAGCGGGCUUGACUGCGAGGACGACGGUCCGAGCAGGGACGAAAGUCGGAGAUAGUGAUCCGGUGCCGGCGCACGGGCGCGGCAUCGCUCAACGGAUAAAAGGUACCCCGGGGAUAACAGGCUGAUCAUUCCCAAGAGUCCAUAUCGACGGGAUGGUUUGGCACCUCGAUGUCGGCUCGUCGCAUC
This 1308-nucleotide ribosomal RNA is filed under the name human gut metagenome. Its description in RNAcentral is "bacterial LSU rRNA". It matches the Rfam family "Bacterial large subunit ribosomal RNA", at positions 1360 to 2546 of the family's 2925-position model. The record is from RNAcentral.